This 232-nucleotide unclassified non-coding RNA is filed under the name Hevea brasiliensis (rubber tree). The record is from RNAcentral. Lineage: Eukaryota; Viridiplantae; Streptophyta; Magnoliopsida; Malpighiales; Euphorbiaceae.
AAGCCGUUGAGAAGGGCAAGAAGCUCGCAGCGGAAGCGGCGUAAUCGCGAUGGCGACCUUCCACUUCAAUCUCGUAUCGCCUGAACGAAUCGCCUUCUCGGGCGAAGUCGAGCAGGUCGAUCCGGCGUCGAGGGCGAUCUCGGCGUGAUGGCCGGGCAUUCGCCGCUGGUCACGACGAUCCGUCCUGGCGUCAUGACGAUUACCGCUGGCGGCAAGCACGAGAAGGUCAUCG